Molecule: transfer RNA, 73 nt
Filed under: Sphaerodactylus townsendi
Lineage: Eukaryota; Metazoa; Chordata; Lepidosauria; Squamata; Sphaerodactylidae
Description: tRNA-Ala
Rfam family: tRNA
About the family: Transfer RNA (tRNA) molecules are approximately 80 nucleotides in length. Their secondary structure includes four short double-helical elements and three loops (D, anti-codon, and T loops).
Source: RNAcentral
GGAGUGGUGGUUCAGUAAGGAGAGCCCCUGUUUUGCAAGCAGAAGGUCCCAGGUUAAAUCCCUGGCAUCUCCA